Molecule: ribosomal RNA, 253 nt
Filed under: uncultured bacterium
Lineage: Bacteria
Description: partial 16S ribosomal RNA
Rfam family: Bacterial small subunit ribosomal RNA
Source: RNAcentral
UACGGAGGGAGCUAGCGUUGUUCGGAAUUACUGGGCGUAAAGCGCGCGUAGGCGGCUUUGUAAGUUAGAGGUGAAAGCCCGGGGCUCAACCCCGGAACUGCCUUUAAAACUGCAUCGCUUGAAUCCGGGAGAGGUGAGUGGAAUUCCGAGUGUAGAGGUGAAAUUCGUAGAUAUUCGGAAGAACACCAGUGGCGAAGGCGGCUCACUGGACCGGCAUUGACGCUGAGGUGCGAAAGCGUGGGGAGCAAACGGG